CUGCACAGCAGGAACUCUCACUCCCAUUUCACGGAGGAGAUGAGGACACAGGCUCAGGAGAAGCCUGACAGCUCUGGUUUAUCCACCACUGAAAGAACCAGCAAGCCCCUACAGGCCCUCCCGACAGCGCCUCCAGAAACAAACCUGGCCCAGCCAUGUGGUUACCCUGAUCUGAUCUGCCAUGAGAAAGGUCACAAACAGGGACUGGAUCUCAGCACAGAGGGCUGCCAGCAACAGUUCCCGAGCCCCCUCCCCCCAUGUUCCAGCAGGACAGCUGUCACAAAGUCCAGCUUUCUGCUGGGGAGGAGACAAGCAAGUCCCCAUGUGGCCAGCUAGACCCGCCUGUGAGCCUGUGAUUGUUCUGCCACAGGUAAGGCAGGGAAAGAAAAGCUCAGAGCUUGGGGCUGAGUGGGUGAAUAUGUCAGAGAAGGGCCUUUUAGGGCCAAGCAGCCUCUGGGCUUGAUCCAGAAUAAAAUCACUCACAGGCUUCCAGGCGCAACACACACACACACACACACACACACACACACACACACACACAGUGGCUUCCAGGCGCAACACACACACACACACACACACACACACACACACACACACACACACACAGUGGCUGCAAAUCCAAAAUUUAAGGAGCCUUGUGGGUCUCCACAGCCCCAGGUUGGCUGAAUGCCUGUGAAUAGGGUGCAUGGAGAGAAUCUCAAAGGUCCAGGAGGUAGGUUUGGGAAAAAACUGGGUCUCAGAAUCUGGGCUGCACACUUAGAGCCUAGGAUACCUCUUGGCUUGUUUUCCCACUUAGGGCUGCAGGCCCCCAGCAGCCUUCUCUGUAGAUCUAUGCUCUAGGAUUGUGGGUAAUGCAGUCCACAGAGGCCAGGCUCCUAGUGAUGCUGCUUCCUGCCCUCUCCUCCCCUCCUCUCAGGCCCCUGACAGCCACCCGCCUUCCUGCUCCAGGAGGAGGGCAAGUCAGAGUGAGGAGGUGGGCUCCUUGCAGGGAUGGGAGAUCCCAGGCUGGAAACCAGUGAGCUAUUUAUGAUUGAGCUUAGCCAAGGGGCAAGGUGUGAGGGGAGCUCCUGUAGGCUGCUACAGAAUUUGCAGGAACCCCAGGCCUCUGCUUGGGUAGGGCUUUUAUUCUCUUCUGUGUGCAGGGUCCUUGAUUCUUUUUUUUUUGAGACGGAGUCUCACUGUGUCACCCAGGCUGGAGUGCAGUGGUCUG
Molecule: long non-coding RNA, 1210 nt
Filed under: Homo sapiens (human)
Lineage: Eukaryota; Metazoa; Chordata; Mammalia; Primates; Hominidae
Description: HSALNT0095043
Source: RNAcentral